This 3536-nucleotide long non-coding RNA is filed under the name Capra hircus (goat). Its description in RNAcentral is "lncRNA (ENSCHIG00010021723.1)". Lineage: Eukaryota; Metazoa; Chordata; Mammalia; Artiodactyla; Bovidae. The record is from RNAcentral.
UAUGGCAAGGACUGGUAACCUAAAUAUUUAGUUAAAGAAUUAGGAGAGAAAUAAAAUAAGUAAAAAUUCAGCAAUAAACUGCUUCCAUUGUAAGCAGUUAAAUUGGUAUUAAAGUCAUGGAAAAGGAAGUGAGCUUCUCAGCUGUUUUUUCAUUCUGUGACUUAGCCCAAUUACCCAACCUAAAAUAAAAUCAAGAGUUUCCAAUGAAAGAAGUUGCAAAAUAUUCUAAUCAUGCCAUACCCAGGGUCAAGUGUUUAUAUCUAUAAUCUUAGGUUGUCGGAUGUUGAAAUUGAUAGCUUACCCAAUAAUUGGACACCUAUAAGUAAGAAUUUGUUAUACAUUUCUCAAUCUUAGUUACAGGAUGUGAUGGACUAUAUUUCUGUCUGUAUGGCUUUACAACAUCUGUGCAGCACAGGCCACGAGCUUCGGGUGACCAAGCAAAUAGGCACAGAUCAGAAGAGGCUGAAUGAGCUAGAAUGACCAGAUGAAGUCAAGUGAAGAGAAAGUUGUCCAGAACUUGGAGACUGAUCAUUCUGAUGUACCUGGAGAAGCUUCGGGUCACACCUCUCCACCAGGGCCUGGUUUGUAUGGAGAUGUUUGCUUUGAUGAUGAUGAACCAUGGGCUGAAGACGCAGCAGGCGAGUCAUAAACAUCUCUGGAUGAUUUCAGGAAUAAUGUCCGACACUAUCCAAGAGUGACCUGAUUAUCUGGAAUGAGCAGUAAAUGGAACAUCCUAAGAACUGGAAUUUCUGAUUAUUUGAUGGUAACCACUGGAAGCACUCUUUGUUUCAAUCAUUGUUGAAGCACUUUAGGAAUAAAGUUCUUUGCUGUCAUCAUUUCUGACAGCAUUUCAGAAAUGCUGAAAGAAAAGAAGCUUCAUUUUCUUGUUUGCUGUCAGCACGCACAAUGUUGAAGCAUCAUUUAAUCUUAUUUUCACAGCUUAGGAAUUUGUGGAGGUUUUAGAAUGAGCAUGUUAACAAUGUUUCUCUUUCCUUUUACUACAGAUGAUUAAGGAAAAAUCAAUUACACUGAAUCAGGUUUGACCUUAAAAUGUGCCCUGGGAUUUCUUUUCUUACCAUCUGGCUUCUUUUCUUUUAAAAAUAAAGAUCAGAAAAAAAUGCCAGAAAAUAAAUUUCUAGUUCACCUGUUCAAAUAAACAUGCCAGUGUCUCUAGUUUAGGAGCUUCCCCUCACCCCAAAUUAUUUCUAAACAACUUCACUAAACUUUAACACAAUGACAAAGAUUAACUGUGAUUACAAUGCUCCCUGGGCAUCUGCACAGAAUAUGUUGCAGGAGCAACAAAAUGUCCAGUAAGUGACUGACUUACUGAUGUGAAGCUUGGGAGAGACUUCUAGGUUGGAAAUUUAGAUUAAGAAGUCACCAGCAAUUAGACAAAAUAACUAGUACUGGUCACUGUAAUUUAUUGGUAAUAAAUAUAAGACCCAGGAAGGGAGUGGACCAGAGUUAUCUACUCAUUUAUUUUUUCACUAUUCAUUCAUACCUUCAUUCAGGGACUAAAUACCGCCUAUGAAUUGGUUGAAAUAAAACCAAGACUUCUGUUUUCCACAACAGUGCUCUAAAAGCAUUUCUAAAACCAAAAAACUUCACUCAAAUUUUCUUGGGCUUCUCUUUUCAAUAGGCAAUGAGUUCUGGGCUGUCAGAAGAGUUGAGAUGCAAGCAGGUUAUCUAAGAGACAUUCACACCCUGGGUUUUCCUCCAACCAUAAAGAAAACUGAUGUAGCUAUUUCUGAUAAGGAAAAGAAGAAAAGACGCUUCUUUGUAGAGGACAAAUACUAGAGGUAAGUAGCAAUAGGAAUGACUUCAUAUGAAGCCUAAUUGGGAAAAUCUUUUUUUUUUUUCUUUAAGGAUAUCCCCUACUCCCACAAUCAAAGUUUCUCUAAUUUCAAAUGUUCUGAUUAUGAAGAAGACAGCUAAUAAUCAUUCAACUUCCCAGAUAUAACCAAGGAAUCUCAGAAUGGCUGAUCCUUGGGUCAUACAUCCAGACACCAAAAGGCAUCAGCAGAGACCAGCUGAGGCCCAGACAAUGCGCCAUUAUAGGAAGCCCAGGUGUAUCAGGCUGAAGAGCAAGCGUGAUAAAGAACUGAAAGUUUACUUUAGCCAAUGAUUUAAUUCAUUUUGCAUCAUUUGUAUAUGCAGUCCUCAAGCAUCUGAAGCAAAAAAGACACUUAGGCUCCGUGUGUCUAGACUUAGAAAAUUGACCUCAGACAUAGUGUAUGGUCCCUCUAUAGAAGAGCAUGAUGUCCUUGUAUCUGGGCAAAGUCUUGUUUUAUGUACUAAACUUUUAAGCCCAAGAAAGUCACAUAUUUUUAUAGUCAAAAAAAUAUUUAACACUUCCUUACACCAUUUUAGGAUUUUAUCCAGGAUUUCACACUGGGACAUUAAUAUGACAUCAUACUUUUGCCAUGGGGCCUCUGCAUAAUAUUGAACUGUGUUUCUUUCAUUUGGUAUGGAUUUGAUGAAAAUAGCUAGUCCAUGAAGCAAAGUUUUCCCAGACUAAUAGCUGAUGACUUUCCUGGAGUUGAGCUGAAGAUUAAUGCUGUGUAACAGGCAUUUGGUAAGAGGACACUCAUUUCAUUGCCAAUGGGGACACUUUAGGGAAUUUUAUGGUGUCAAACUGAAGAGGAAACACAAAACACUUUUCAACUAACUCAAGCUUAUAUCUUUUCAUUCUAAACUCUUGAAAAAUUCCACUUUCCAACUUAUGCAAAUUGAGCUUAAACUUUUUUCUUGAAUAAUUUCCAAGUCACUGUUUCAUCCUGAGCCCUGCAUGCAUGCUCAAUCAUGUCUGACUUUGUGACCUCAUGACUACAGCCCACCAGUCUCCUCUGUCCAUGGAAUUUUCCAGGCACGAAUACUAGAGUGGGUUACCAUUUCCUACUCCAGAGGAUCUUUCCGACACAGUGAUCAAACUGGUGUCGCUUGCAUCUCCUCCACUGGCAAGUGAAUUCUUUCCUGCUGUGCCACCUGGGAAGCCUCCACUGUUUCCCACUUGCACUUAAAAUCAAAGGAUACUUCCUCACGUCAUAGCCAUUUCAAGUCACUGUUUCGGAAUAAAAAUGCAACCGAGCGUGAACCAGGUCUGCUAGUACCUGCUUUUCUUUCUCCUCCAGCACCUCCUUGUUGGCCAUGCUCUGCUAUUCCAAGGAGAGAUGAGAAGAGUCUGUCUGGCUUUCUGCUGCAGGCUGCCAUUGCCUAUAUUAAAUAUUAUUUGUAAAUAAAUUAUAGCCNNNNNNNNNNNNNNNNNNNNNNNNNNNNNNNNNNNNNNNNNNNNNNNNNNNNNNNNNNNNNNNNNNNNNNNNNNNNNNNNNNNNNNNNNNNNNNNNNNNCAUUGCCUAUAUUAAAUAUUAUUUGUAAAUAAAUUAUAGCCCUUCCAUACACUCAAAAAAAGACAAAAGUUGACUGCUGGUAAUGAACAGAUGAGAAAGCAAAAAGCGUGCUUGCUUUUAAGGAAUCUGGAGGGAGCUGCCAGGGCUUGACAUCAUAAGGCUCAGCCCAUAGGGCUAUUGAUCUUGUUA